GUGUUCAGUUGCCAGCUGAGGCUGAACCACGACACUAGAUGAAAUACAACGUGGUCCCAUUUUGGCCUUGAAUUGUAAGUGUUCACAGAAGACAGAAAAAUAAAGUGUCUGAAGUCGUGCCAAAAUUUUGCUGAACCACUCAGAUUCCUGCAGUUUACUUUUUUGAGCAUCUUACAGCAUCUUUGGAUCACCCAACAAAGAAAUUCCUUUUGGACACAGUAUGUGGUCAAAUGAAGAUUCUGUUCAAAGUGACAUGAAAUCAGAAAUAUUGGCUAUAUAACAGGGUUUGCUCAACAGGGAGCACAAGGCAGUUGUCAGAGGAGCUGGCCACUGCAGUCUCACAUU
This is a non-coding RNA of Phalacrocorax carbo (great cormorant), 345 nucleotides long. NCBI's taxonomy places the organism in Eukaryota, Metazoa, Chordata, Aves, Suliformes, Phalacrocoracidae. The record is from RefSeq and is a predicted model, not a curated record.